RNAcentral lists this transfer RNA (66 nucleotides) under Salmo salar (Atlantic salmon). It matches the Rfam family "tRNA". Rfam says of the family: Transfer RNA (tRNA) molecules are approximately 80 nucleotides in length. Their secondary structure includes four short double-helical elements and three loops (D, anti-codon, and T loops). The record is from Rfam by way of RNAcentral. Lineage: Eukaryota; Metazoa; Chordata; Actinopteri; Salmoniformes; Salmonidae.
CCUAUAGCUCAGUUGGUAGAGCAUGCCACUUGCAAUGCCAGGGUUGUGGGAUUGAUUCCCACUGGG